Long non-coding RNA from Leptonychotes weddellii (Weddell seal), 426 nucleotides. RefSeq lists it as uncharacterized. NCBI's taxonomy places the organism in Eukaryota, Metazoa, Chordata, Mammalia, Carnivora, Phocidae. The record is from RefSeq and is a predicted model, not a curated record.
CGCUGGGGCCCUGGCUCACGCCCCAGCCUCCUGGCCGGAGCCAGUCCCAGAACCCCUCUUCCCUCCUCCCGCCCCAGGGGCGGGGGCAGCAGCUGCUGGGUCCUCGGAGGCGCUGGGAUCCGACAGCCCGGUACCUGGGAGCCAGGGCCUGCCCAGCGGCCUUCCUUCCUGGCCAACAGCUGCCUGCGUGCAGCCUCUCUCCCGAGGAUCUGGGUGGCCAUUCAUGACGGGCCUCCUCUUGGAAAGGCAAAGAAGGUGGCAUUAUAACUAGGGAUUGCUCGAUUGACCUGGCACCGCAUCCACCCUACACUUGUUCGCGGAGGAUUUGUGUCUCUCCUUAACCCGGAACAGCCUCACCUGAAUCCUCCACCAAUCUCCUUCUGAAACACCUAUGAGGGCUGCCAUAACAAAGGACCACAAACUGGG